RNAcentral lists this ribosomal RNA (292 nucleotides) under uncultured bacterium. RNAcentral describes it as "partial 16S ribosomal RNA". It matches the Rfam family "Bacterial small subunit ribosomal RNA", at positions 505 to 796 of the family's 1533-position model. The record is from RNAcentral.
GUGCCAGCAGCCGCGGUAAUACGAAUCGUCCAAACGUUGUUCGGAUUUACUGGGUUUAAAGGGCGCGUAGGCGGUGCGCUAAGUCGGUGGUGAAAUACUUCGGCUCAACCGGAGAAUUGCCGCUGAAACUGGCGUGCUCGAGGGAGGUAGAGGUGCGUGGAACUUCCGGUGGAGCGGUGAAAUGCGUUGAUAUCGGAAGGAACACCUGUGGCGAAAGCGAUGCACUGGACCUCUUCUGACGCUGAGGCGCGAAAGCCAGGGGAGCGAACGGGAUUAGAUACCCUCGUAGUCC